Molecule: unclassified non-coding RNA, 177 nt
Filed under: uncultured fungus
Lineage: Eukaryota; Fungi
Description: sequence contains ITS1
Source: RNAcentral
UUCAUUUAUUCAUCAAAGACUCCGACAUACAGAGACAGGGUUGGUUGGUCCACCGGGGGCGGCGGAGGCCGCUCUGCCCCCGAGGCAAAAGUGGUUUGGUCAACAAAGGGUUGGGGACGGGGGCCCGGGGGUCCACCAUCUCUGGUAAUGAUCCCUCCGCAGGUUCACCUACGGAGA